CGGUGCUUAUCGGCGAGCUCAAAGCGGAGCGUGAACCGAACCGAGCGACGGAGAAAUAUCCCCACUCUGUAGUAUCUCGAGGUUACGCAGUCAAAGCAUGCAUGUGUGACGUUCUCUGUCGAACGCCACACAUUCGUAUCACCUCGACCGCCGCAGCUCGAUUUCCCCUGCAAUGCUGCCCCACCACCUCGAAAGAGCGAAUCAGUAGAGUGACGUGCGCUCCCAAACAGUGUCGCUGUCAGACGCGCUCUUUGAGCCAGUUUCGUGCCCAUGCCUGCACUACUGGAUGAUGGGGAAAGUCUGAAGCGAUUCCUCUGUUGGAGAAUUUGUAUUUGCAUUAGAAGUGUUGUGACCUCCGGAAGACUGUCUGGACAAUUUAUCUUCUUUCGUUACCUGUACAUGCCGAGCCGAGUAAGUUGAAAAUGUAUACCGAGCCAUGAGAUCAAUACAAGUUUCGGAAAUAACAGCUUUACAUGCGUGUACCAGCGAUAUAUGAGUAAUCUGACAAGACAAGUGCUGUAACGGAACCGGACUAGCUGGUGGAGG
Osmia bicornis bicornis is the source of this 546-nucleotide long non-coding RNA. RefSeq lists it as uncharacterized. The record is from RefSeq and is a predicted model, not a curated record. NCBI's taxonomy places the organism in Eukaryota, Metazoa, Arthropoda, Insecta, Hymenoptera, Megachilidae. The transcript has 4 exons.